Molecule: RNA transcript, 948 nt
Organism: Salvia splendens (bonfire salvia)
Lineage: Eukaryota; Viridiplantae; Streptophyta; Magnoliopsida; Lamiales; Lamiaceae
Gene name: cadmium-induced protein AS8
Exons: 4
Source: RefSeq, a predicted model, not a curated record
AUUGCGCUCAAUUUUACGUUUUAUCUAUAUUAUUAUUUCUGGUUGAUACAGAUAAUGAGCAAAAUUCAUGCAAUUUUUGCGCGUUAAGUUUCGUAUUUGUGUUGAUAUUUCCUCUCUCAUUUACAUAAGGUAGAAAUGAUUAUAAAGGGUUUAUUUAGGAGAUAUGAGAGGAGGAAUCCAGUGAAUCCAACGAUCGGAGCCUUUUGGGGCGUUGGAAUAGGCAUUGGUUGCGGUGUAGGAUGGGGCCCUGGCUUUGGUCAUGAGGUAGUUGGCUACGUUGGAGCCGGCUGUGGUGCUGGAUUUAAUGUGGGGAUCACUUUUCUUGGUGUUGGCCUUGGUCUUCCUGCUAAUUACCUAUUUAGGGCCCCUCAUAGUGAAUUAUCAGUUGAAAAGAAAGGUUCUAGUCUAACUGGAAGCAGAAGUACCAUGGAAGACGAUAGAACAGGCAUAUCUGGCACACAACAAAGUCAAGGUGCAUCAUUUUCAGGUUUCAAAGUUGACAGUUUGAAGAACUUUAGAGAUUUACCGGAUGUCAGAAGCAUGUUUGCUUCCUAUUCUAAGCAUGUAACUGAUUGUUUACAUAGAGUCACUGGAAGGCUUAAUCCCUCUGGAUAGAGGUCCAACGAGUAUAACAAUCAUGAAUCAUCAGAUGAAAUUCUUCUAUCCUGAUGAUAUAAGAGGAUUUGACCUUUUUGCUAAAACGAUGGGAAAAUAUACCUCCAAAUUCUUAUUAGUUCAGAUUGAAGCGGAAUGGUUCUUGUAGAUAUAGUUUGUCUGAUGCUGAAGCCUGUGUGUGAAAAAUGGUGCCUAUUCUGCUGUGUAUUCAUAUGUAAGUGCCAUCGCAAUUCGCUUAAAUCUAAGCCUAUUUGUACACUCCAUAAUCCAUUGUUUGUUUGGUAGUAGGUACAGACGUACAGUAUUUAAAUUAAAUAUACUUAUUGUUGGUUA